RNAcentral lists this ribosomal RNA (265 nucleotides) under uncultured bacterium. RNAcentral describes it as "partial 16S ribosomal RNA". It matches the Rfam family "Bacterial small subunit ribosomal RNA", at positions 524 to 787 of the family's 1533-position model. The record is from RNAcentral.
UACAGAGGUCCCCGAGCGUUGUUCGGAUUCACUGGGCGUAAAGGGUGCGUAGGUGGCUUGGCAAGUCUGAUGUGAAAUCUCCGGGCUCAACCCGGAAAUGGCAUUAGAAACUGCGGAGCUGGAGGCUUGGAGAGGGAAGCGGAAUUCCCGGUGUAGUGGUGAAAUGCGUAGAUAUCGGGAGGAACACCGGUGGCGAAGGCGGCAUCCUGGACCGGCAUUGACGCUGAGGCGCGAAAGCCAGGGGAGCAAACGGGAUUAGAUACCC